CUCGCGGCCUAUCAGCUUGUUGGUGAGGUAAUGGCUCACCAAGGCGUCGACGGGUAGCCGGCCUGAGAGGGUGACCGGCCACACUGGGACUGAGACACGGCCCAGACUCCUACGGGAGGCAGCAGUGGGGAAUAUUGCACAAUGGGCGGAAGCCUGAUGCAGCAACGCCGCGUGAGGGAUGACGGCCUUCGGGUUGUAAACCUCUUUUAGCAGGGAAGAAGCGAAAGUGACGGUACCUGCAGAAAAAGCGCCGGCUAACUACGUGCCAGCAGCCGCGGUAAUACGUAGGGCGCAAGCGUUAUCCGGAAUUAUUGGGCGUAAAGAGCUCGUAGGCGGUUUGUCGCGUCUGCUGUGAAAUCCGGAGGCUCAACCUCCGGCCUGCAGUGGGUACGGGCAGACUAGAGUGCGGUAGGGGAGAUUGGAAUUCCUGGUGUAGCGGUGGAAUGCGCAGAUAUCAGGAGGAACACCGAUGGCGAAGGCAGAUCUCUGGGCCGUAACUGACGCUGAGGAGCGAAAGGGUGGGGAGCAAACAGGCUUAGAUACCCUGGUAGUCCACCCCGUAAACGUUGGGAACUAGUUGUGGGGUCCAUUCCACGGAUUCCGUGACGCAGCUAACGCA
RNAcentral lists this ribosomal RNA (619 nucleotides) under Microbacterium sp. RNAcentral's name for it is "bacterial SSU rRNA". It matches the Rfam family "Bacterial small subunit ribosomal RNA", at positions 230 to 859 of the family's 1533-position model. Lineage: Bacteria; Bacillati; Actinomycetota; Actinomycetes; Micrococcales; Microbacteriaceae. The record is from RNAcentral.